Paralichthys olivaceus (Japanese flounder) is the source of this 2308-nucleotide non-coding RNA. NCBI's taxonomy places the organism in Eukaryota, Metazoa, Chordata, Actinopteri, Pleuronectiformes, Paralichthyidae. The record is from RefSeq and is a predicted model, not a curated record.
CCUACCAGCUGCCAAAUGUCAGCUCUGUCGUGUGAUUCAAAAACUGAGAACUGAAAACAGACCCGUGAUCCGUCACUUCAACGUCACGAUGAAAACGUACUCGUGUCAAAGUCGAGAGGAGACGAUCUCCAACAACCUCAUCGUGGUUUCGAAGUUCCUGCUGGAGAGCCGUGAAGAACUCCAUGAACUGGUCCAUAUGCCCCAACGAGUUACAAUAUGGAGUCUCUUUUACCUUUUUGUUAUUUAUUUGAGCAGACACCAUCUCUCCUGCAGUUUGAGGUUGAGUCAGCUGGUUCCUCACUUCCUGUCAUCCGCAGACGUCCUGCUCCAGCUGCAGCUCACUGCGGUUUUCUCUCAUCUUUCCAUAAGUCUGGAGAAGAGUCCAGAAGUCACAUGAUCAGGAAACAGGAAGUAAAACUUAAAAAUCUUGCACCUGUAACAGAAGCUCCUCUGGCUCUGGUAUCAGUGACGGUGGCUUGAGUUUCCCGUGAACAACCGAUUGUGAACUUUUGUUGUUCAGUGAAGAAUGGAAAUGGCCGACCCUCCCAGGAUGUUACUGCGUUCAUGUGUGGACAGAGUGUUAGCGGUGAAAGGUGACCACGAUCAGGGAGUUCAAGGGAACAGACUGGCGUCCGUUAUCUCGUCUUCAGUGACAGGACGGAGCUUUUCUCUCUUUCUUUCUGAUUCUGAACACUCUCGUAUAAAUGCCUUUAAACUGAACUUUACUUUUCUCACUUCCUGUUGACCAGGCACUGAACUCUGUUUAGAGGAGCCAUGUUUUAUUUGACCUUCCUUCUCUUCAGUGACAUCAAACAGCCACAAGGGUUUUGACCAUUUUGCACAUUUGAACCUGAGGUUGAUGUUUUUUACGUAGAGUAGAAAUCUUUGUUUUUAACACUGGACCAUGUUACACAGGAUUCUUCCCCAUACUGACGUCAUCCACCUGGGUAAUCAGAUUACUAUCAGUCUGAACACAUGACAGAUUGUCAGUGAGCCUCAUGUAGGAACCGUUCAUACAAACAGGUUUGUUGUUUAACGGUGCGUUUGAGUCAUUUAGGAGAAGUUGCAUCAUUCACCAAUUUUCUUGCAUUUUGUGUUUUCCUACAGUUAUGAACAGAAUUUGAGUUUUCCAGACUGGAGUAUGGACGCCCAACGAUUCUGGUCGGGUCACCGUGUCGAGGACCUGUACUUGAUUUUCUUUUUACACUACACGUGUCUCUGAUCAGGUUACUGACAUGACUUCUCCACCAGAGUCCUGCUGCUUCAUCGUUUGUAGAUCCAGGAUCACAGCUGCAGCCACAUGGUGGAUCACAGACUGUGAUCAUGGACCAUAGAUCCUGAUGGUGUCAGCUGAUCCUGGACCAUGAUCACAACCAAACUUCUUGAUACACAACAUGUCUCCUCAUCUUCUACCAUCAGUAACUCCUCAGUUCAUGUGUGUGCUCCUUCAUCUCUAUCAGACAUGUUCUCAUGUAGAAAUGUUUAACUCUGUCCGUCCUGGGAGAGGGAUCCCUCACGUGUGACUCUCUCAGGUUUCUACAGUGCGGGUUCAUCAAAUGGAGGUAAAACCCAUUUAACGGCUUCACCACGCUGUCUUGACAGAUCAGUGAGUUCACCCGGGCACCAUGUCUGAUUGGAGCCGAUAGUAACCUGCAGAGUCAUUUCACCCGAGAGUGAAUGACCUUUGAAUCCAUUCAGCAAAAAGACGGAUGUUCGAGGGUGUUGGUGGUUUUUGACCUCGAGCAGCAGCAGCAGCAGCGUUCUGAACGUGUGCUGUGAACACACCAUCACAACGUGGGAUCGACAGAAGAUAAAAAUGUGGACAAGUUUGUUCAGGUCCUGCUGAGACAGGAACGUGAAGCAGCUGCUGAGUUUCUGGAAGUUUCUCUGAUUAAAACAAAGUAAACAUAAGAACGCUCCUGAUCCUGAUGGUGUUUAGAAUCCUGAUCGCUCAGGGGGAAGAAACUUUAAGUGGGUUUGACUUUUCACGACUGCUCGGGGGAAGGGUGGAAGAGAUCUGUCUUUAUGUCAACGACCUUCCUCACUUCUCUUCUGCUCCUGCACUGUAAAAAACAAUGUUAAAUUGGAGUCAUGGUUUCAUGUUGACUGAUGAAACGUUGUGAUCCUACAGUGAGUCAUGUGACACAGACCUGUCACAGGAAAUCCCCCUUCUCUCUUCUGUUUGAUCUCCUUUCAGAUUCAUGGAGAGUUGAUCCAUGAAAAAUGUUUGUGGCACUUUUGUCUUUAAUAGUGAAGGAAAAUGUUGGAUUUGACUCAACGAGCAGCUUCAAUAAAACAGAUGAAACAU